Molecule: ribosomal RNA, 405 nt
Filed under: uncultured bacterium
Lineage: Bacteria
Description: partial 16S ribosomal RNA
Rfam family: Bacterial small subunit ribosomal RNA
Source: RNAcentral
AUUGAACGCUAGCGAGAUGCUUUACACAUGCAAGUCGAACGAGUGGAGGACGGGUGAGGAAUAUAUCGGAACGUGCCCAGUAGCGGGGGAUAAGUACUCGAAAGAGUGGCUAAUACCGCAUACUAUUGGAGCGGCCGAUGUCGGAUUAGCUAGUGGGUGGGGGAAAGGCUGACCAAGGCAAAGAUCCGUAGCAGGUUUGAGAGGAUGACCAGCCACACUGGGACUGAGACACGGCCCAGACUCCUACGGGAGGCAGCAGUGGGGAAUUUUGGGCAAUGGAGGAAACCCUGAUCCAGCCAUCCCGCGUGUAUGAGAAGGCCUUCGGGUUGUAAAGCACUUUUGGCAGAGAAGCGGUAUCUGCCGAAUAAGCACCGGCUAACUACGUGCCAGCAGCCGCGGUAAUUC